ACCAUCAAUUAUAUCUGGUUCACUGUCCCCAUCAUCAUCAUGGUCCGCCCUGUCUCUCAACCUCAUCUCAAACAUCUCUCUUCCCAACCAGUCAACUGAACUAGAUGAACUCUUGAAUCCAUUCGCACUUCUAGAACUGCCUGCUCCUCCGUGGCCAAGGCCAGUGGACGCCAUAAAUGAACCUUGCAGAAGUCACAGACACUAAUCUCUGCACCUCUCUGCAUAAUUCCUUCUGGUGCAGCCCUCCAUUCCGUGGAUGUUCCUGUCUAUCUCGAUGAAUACAAAGCAGUAUCGAAGCAUUUCUUCUUCAACGAUUCCAGCAAAUAGAGAUUUUCAAUCAAUUUACACCACAAAAUGCAUAUUCAAAUUGUAGAAAUUGAAUAGAAAAAGUCAGUUGAAGAGUCAGAUCAAACGCAGACGAGUUAAUUUUUGAAUAAUUUCUUCUGGUUUCGUCGUUUGGUUCUUUCUAAAAUGCGAGA
This 479-nucleotide unclassified non-coding RNA is filed under the name Hevea brasiliensis (rubber tree). Lineage: Eukaryota; Viridiplantae; Streptophyta; Magnoliopsida; Malpighiales; Euphorbiaceae. The record is from RNAcentral.